Rosa rugosa (rugosa rose) is the source of this 2748-nucleotide long non-coding RNA. RefSeq lists it as uncharacterized. The transcript has 7 exons. The record is from RefSeq and is a predicted model, not a curated record. Lineage: Eukaryota; Viridiplantae; Streptophyta; Magnoliopsida; Rosales; Rosaceae.
ACCGAACCGAGCCCAGUCCUAAGGAAAUCACUGUGGCGGGUGUUACUGUAGAUUAAUGAAAUUUUGAUAAUACCGGUCUCUAUCCUCCAUUGGUUGAGGCAAUUACUUGAUUGCCAUGAAACCCGUCUUGAUAGAUGAUGCCGCAGCAAUCUCUCUCCCUCUGAUCACAGACGCCCCAUAAAUCUCUCUCCCUCUGACGCCGCCUCAUCUAGCCUUUCAUCACGAUUUUGGGUUGGAAAUCGAAGCCUCGCUCAAGCAAGGCUGCUUGGCGAUUUGAUUCAGUUCCGUUUUUGCCUGUUCCUUCAUUCUGCAUUCUUCAUUCUCUUCUGUCUAUUCCCCCUGUCCACCAUCACAGAUUCACAGGUCAGGAUGUCGUCCAUUUUGCUAAAAAUAUCUGGGACAAUAUGUUUAAAAUACCAUUGGGUACCCUUUCCUCAACUCUCUCAAGGAGAAAUUUGUUUAAAAUGCGUUUAAUAUUUUUCUGCUGGCGCUUAUUAAUAUCAGUAUGGAAGUUCUGGCAAGUAUCUGUUAGGAAAGCCUGGUUAAAUGAAUGACACAGCCUGGUUAAAUUACUUGCUUAUAAGAACGAAUUGGAAAAGGCGCUCAGCAGCCUGUGCAAUUUCACUUUCCUCCAACUCCCCCAUUUUAGCUAUCAGAUUCAUUUCAUUACUCUUCCCAUCACCACAGUCCUCUCACUUCCCUUCCCGAUCUCCAUCAGCCAUGGCAUUUCGCUUUUAUAAUUUGGCCUGGGUUAUGAUCUCCAUGCUGCACCAGCACAUCUUCCAAAAGCAGUGCACAAUCGCCACCCUCUUCAAAACCCAAAUUGGGAAAGCAAAUUCGCUCAGCACGAAUGGAUAUGAGGAUGAACACGCACCAAGUUUUCAAGACGCGAGCCCAACACCUGCAGUCGUAGUAGUAGUCAUUGUAAUCGACGGUGGUGGAGGAGUCAGAGUCAUCAGGACGCAGAGCAAGUGAUUACGGGGUGAAAGGUUUGAUCGAUUUUGAGUCCUUGAUCUUACUCUGAAGAAGAAGAAGAAUCACCCAGACACUGAGAAAGUUUUGAGGUGACUGGUUGUGACUGCAGGUGCUAACUAAGAUAAGUGCUACUUCACCAAAUCUCCCUGCUGUUUCUUCACUGCUGCUUCUAAGGUUGCUUUGGAGUGUUAACCUUUCUUGUUUUCACCAAAUUUGAUUCUGUCUGUGAAAAUGGCUUCAUCUUAAAUUGGGUUUUUGUGGCUUGCACUUUUGCAGUGAUAUUGAUAUUAAGGUUUGUAAUUUCUUGCGGGAAGUUACAAACCCAUGUUUAGUUUUUUACGUUGGAAUCAGUUUGAAUAUCAAAACAUAUGUAUUUUUACUCAUCUAGAAAAUUGAAGAUCAUGUAUCUUACUUUUAUCUCUGGGAUAUUGUUGUCAAUACUUGAGUUAAAUAAACUUUGUAAGGCUAGUCUGAUAUAGAGAAUGAAAUGUUGAUGGGUUGGAACACUUCUUUUCAGGGGACCCGAUUUUGUUUGAGCCUCUCUAUUUGUUCAUGCUGUUCUUGCAUACAAAUUGUUGAUAUGUUAAUACAUUACCAAAAGGUUUCUUUCCCCACCCUGUCUUUAGUUCCACCAGCUCUUCUAGAACAAUUGAAGCAGGGGACUAAUGUGGAUCUCUGUGAUGUCAAGAUUUUGGAAUCGAUCAAAUCAACCAGUUUACAUGCCGUGGAAAACUGAAGUUAUCUCAAAGAAAGACUUGGCAAGAGUGUAGCUGGAAGUAUCAAAGAGUAAGGUUUGAGCUUCUUUUUCUUCUAAUAACCUGAAAUGGUGUAUUUCAGUUGUGACUAUGGAUUUUGAGGGUCUGAUUAUGAUAGAAGUUAUUUGAAGAAUACAAUAUAUUAUAGAGGGAUUUUAUAGUAGGUUGGGAGAAGCCCAAUGUGUUUAUGAAUGUCCCUAUUUGACAUCCAACUAUAUUGCUGUUCUGUUGUCAAAGCUUGCUGUUCGUUUUUUUUUCUUUUUCAUGUUGCAUACAUAAAUAUGCUAGAAGGUGAUCUAUUGAUCUAGAAUGUGAUCUUUGGGUUGUCAAAGAAUGCAUCUAGGUCCUAGAUAUGGUCCAGUCUAAUCAUUAAGAGACGAGGACUUCAGGUGGGGAUGCAUACAAACACGAUAGUUUAUAGGCUGUAUACUUAUUAUUUUGUACAUUUGGAAAUGAAGUUCAGAGUAUGGCAUAGGAAUGGAGGUGUCAGCAAGUGGUGACAUCUAUAGCUAUGAAAUCCUGCUAUUUGAGAUGUUGAUAGGCAAAAGAUUGACAGAUGACAUGUUUAAAGACGGCCUGAACUUGCAUAAAUUAGUCAAAUAAGGCUUUGGCCUCCUUAUCCUAUUGGAUGGUGAUCAGAGCUGAGUCUUCUAGCCAUCCCGGUCAGCUUUUGAGCAAGCACUUGGAGCCUAUUAUUGAAGAGGAGCUUUUGAACGAGCACAUGGACACUAUUGAAGAGGUUUGACAUGUAAAACAAGAAACUUUCAACUAUGUAAUUUUUUUGUUUACUGAUAAUCUGUAUCAGUGUGCUUUGUUUAGUGUAAGACUCGGCUUUGAUUAUCCAACAAGAUGCUACCAGUCUACUUUGUUCUUGGAAUUUUAUGAUCUGUACCUAAAUUUGAAUGCCUAACCGGGACGGCUAGAAGACUCGGCUCUGAUCAAGAUGCUACCAGUAUACUUUGUUCUUGGGAUUUUAUGAUUUGUACCUAAUUUUGAAUGCAUGGAAACUUUCUAAGUA